RNAcentral lists this long non-coding RNA (815 nucleotides) under Glycine max (soybean). Its description in RNAcentral is "long non-coding RNA (GMAX_LNC004335)". The record is from RNAcentral. Lineage: Eukaryota; Viridiplantae; Streptophyta; Magnoliopsida; Fabales; Fabaceae.
UCCCUUGCAGCUGCCUCCCUUGUAUCCUGUGCCUUGCUCUGAAUAUCCUGCCCAACCUCCUUGGUCUUCUGCCCCACUUCCUUCGUCUUCUGCCCCACGUACUCCGCCGCCUCGGCGAGGUGAUGCUUCGCGGCGGCGGCGAGGUUCUCCGAGGCUGGCUGGGUCUCCCGGAUGUAGUUCAGGAUCCAGGAGAAGGAAGACAGCGCCGUGAGCCCGAAGGCCCCCGACGUCAGGAACCCGGCCACGGCCAGGCCGAUGGCGACCGUGGCUGGAACCAGCACCGGGCUGAAGAGGACGAAGAGCGGCGUGGCAACUGCCAGUCCGGUGAGGGUUCCUGCCAGGGUCAAUCCCGCCAGGAGGAGCAGGAUGCCACCGACCGGGAGGCCGGCGAGGACGGCGAGGACCUGGGAAGUCGUUGGACCUCUCUCGGAAUGGUAAAUGGAGGGCGCUUUGACGCCGGCUUCAUAACGCGGCGGUUCGAAACGGGCUCCGGGGGGGACGACGCCAGCUUCGUAGCGGUGUGUUGUUGUGUGGACUUGGACACUGUGUGGUGGUACUUGUGUGGUCAUGGUUGAAGGUGAAGUUUAGGGUUUUGCAAUGAAGAUGAUGAUGCAACAGUGCUGCAAGUGAAGGAAUUGUUAGUGGGGUGUGUGUUAGAGAGGGAGAGUGUGACGGGGGUGUUGUUAUAUAGCAAAAGUGGAGUUGUUGGGUGAUGACACGUACAUGAUACAUGGUGAGUAGGGGCUUUGCAUGAGGAACAGGUUUCAGUUUGCCCUCGGUUUAGUACAUCAGAAAAAUUAAAGUGGGGUACAUAA